Molecule: long non-coding RNA, 307 nt
Organism: Drosophila ficusphila
Lineage: Eukaryota; Metazoa; Arthropoda; Insecta; Diptera; Drosophilidae
Exons: 2
Source: RefSeq, a predicted model, not a curated record
UAUAGCCAUAUCACUGGACACGGCACGAUACGGUCACACUGCGCAGUCGGCGUUUUUUAGCGACAUCUCGCGCUGGUUCACUUCGUUCACUCGUUCGCAACGCGAUGUUUUGAAUACAUACAUUUUUUCCAUUCUCGCCAAGUGAAGUUCAUCCGCCAGACCGAAGAUUUUUAGUCAAACGUGCUAAAUCUAUGAAAUUAACUGUGUUUUAUGAAUCAAUUAGGGCGAGCAGAUCUGCAAAAUUAUCGAGUAGCGAUUCUCUUCUGAAGGCAACACAUUCGGUUUGGACUUAAAGGAUAGACUCGAG